AAGUCGUAACAAGGUUUCCGUAGGUGAACCUGCGGAAGGAUCAUUACUGCUUGCUCAUGGCCGCCUGGAGUUCUGCUCCGGCGCGGUACGGCAACACUACCCUUGUCUAUACAUACCUUUUGUUAUUUCCCUCGGCGGGGUCACACCCGUCGAUGGGGACACUAUAAACCCUUGUAUCUUAAGCAUCAAACUUCUGAAACAAAACAAAAUAAUCACAACUUUCAACAAUGGAUCUCUUGGUUCUG
RNAcentral lists this unclassified non-coding RNA (245 nucleotides) under fungal sp. Its description in RNAcentral is "partial contains small subunit ribosomal RNA, internal transcribed spacer 1, and 5.8S ribosomal RNA". The stretch from base 1 to 46 matches the Rfam family "Eukaryotic small subunit ribosomal RNA", at positions 1786 to 1831 of the family's 1831-position model. RNAcentral also lists the same sequence under 1 other name. The record is from RNAcentral. Lineage: Eukaryota; Fungi.